AUUGAACGCUGGCGGCAUGCCUUACACAUGCAAGUCGAACGGCAGCACGGGAGCAAUCCUGGUGGCGAGUGGCGAACGGGUGAGUAAUAUAUCGGAACGUGCCCGGUCGUGGAGGAUAACGUAGCGAAAGCUACGCUAAUACCGCAUACGAUCUACGGAUGAAAGCGGGGGAUCGCAAGACCUCGCGCGAUUGGAGCGGCCGAUAUCAGAUUAGGUAGUUGGUGAGGUAAAGGGCUCACCAAGCCGACGAUCUGUAGCUGGUCUGAGAGGACGACCAGCCACACUGGGACUGAGACACGGCCCAGACUCCCUACGGGAGGCAGCAGUGGGGAAUUUUGGACAAUGGGCGCAAGCCUGAUCCAGCAAUGCCGCGUGCAGGA
Molecule: ribosomal RNA, 380 nt
Filed under: uncultured bacterium
Lineage: Bacteria
Description: bacterial SSU rRNA
Rfam family: Bacterial small subunit ribosomal RNA
Source: RNAcentral